Long non-coding RNA from Cyprinus carpio carpio, 3186 nucleotides. Lineage: Eukaryota; Metazoa; Chordata; Actinopteri; Cypriniformes; Cyprinidae. The record is from Ensembl.
GGAAUCUAAAAGGAACAUGGCUGCAGGCGAGGAGCAGUCUCAAAACAGCCACUUCCAGCCAGUACACACAAAUAAACCUGAACGCUGAACUUCAAGAGAACCUCGUAAAAAGAGAAUUUUUGCAAUUAAAGUCACAAUGUGAGAAUCCUUUAUAUUGACUUUAAAAUCAAGCCAGUAAUAGACAAAACCAUUAAAGUGACAGAGCCUGGAGCGACUGUGUGCUGCUUUACAAUGAAAUGGCUUGUUUUCUCAUACUUUGCUGCUGACACAGUUGCCAUAUUAGAACAAAAUAAAUGGUUAGCGUCCUUGUUAUUAUCUCUCUUAAACCCAGUUGAACGGUCUGAACGCCUGCCAUUGUUCAGUCUCUGUGAUAAGGGGCAUGUGAUUCACCACUACGGCUCAGUAAAUGAAGGAUGGAGAUGAGCCACUGACAUGAAUACCCUGCCCUUGACUGAGCCAGGAUGCGAUCUCACGACUGCAUGUGAAAGCGCUCACUGGCACGGUGCCCGUCAGAUCGAGACGUCAGAGCCGCACACACUCACGCUGGCACGGGUCCCAUCGCUGCGUCCGCCCAUGCGAGGCCACCGGGCUGUGACGUUACAGAGGGAUAAUUUUGGGAUGACGCAUGCCGGUUCUCUGCGUGGAAUCAUUUUGGCUGCAUGGGUUUUUCUGGCUCAAUUAGCAGACUCUCUUUCUGCUGAAGGGGGAUUCAGCAUGUGACAGAGAGCGAGAGAGAGAGAGAGAGAGAGAGAGCACAGAACGGGUCGAGUGUCCUGUGUGUUUGUGUGUGUCCCGACGGCCCGCAGCAUUACCCAGUCUUAUGGAUCGGAGCCCCACAGAGCCGGACUUAACAAGCCUGGACUGCAGCAAUACUUGCUGAUCUGCUGAAUCCCACUGAUGUUAAUUGAUGGGCUAAAUUGGCCUUGGAAAUUAAUAUACCCAUGCCGGGCAGACCUGACCAGGCUUGCCACCAAAACAAGAGCCUGCGGAGUCAUUACAGGUAAUAAAUAAAUAAAUGGAAAUGAAAGAGGAAUGGGAGGUAAUUGCAAGGGAGACUGAGAUAGGAGCGUAUAAGCGAUUCGCUCGCAGGUAUGUGUGUGUGUGUGUGUGCGUGUGUGUGUGUCCAGUCCACAGUGAGGCAGUACAGACACAAACUCUCACUCACACACACACAAACACACCCUGAACUUACACAGAGCAAUUAAGGUGCUGUUGAGAUGAUACUCUUUGUGCUUCACAGAUGUAAAACACUGGUUCUAAGAGCCGAUUAUCAGCUUUAGAGAAAGCAAUCAUCAAACACAUGUUCUCUGUACCGACAACACAAAUUGACACCAGUAUCUUUGAGCUCACAUAAUGCUGCUGCUUUCCUCUUCUAACAAGCCCCGAUAAUCUGAAGAACCAUCAAACUUACUGACCUGAAGGUGAGAAACUUAUGGAAGAAAAAUAAUAUCACUUUGAAACAUAAAAGCAUGUUGAAUAGCAUUAACUGAAAAAAUAAUGCAUUGCAGUAACAGUGUUUGCUUUUUAAUGUCUUGUAUUUUCAGGGCUUGCAUUGUUAGGUCCUGAAAUGUAACAAGUAGUACAAGUUGUACAGUGUUAAACAACUUCUUAAUCUUUAAUAUAAAAACAACAACAUAUCUACAAAUAUAGUUUGGGAACAGCAAGUUUUUGAAAGAAGUAUCUUCUGUUCAUCAUCAAGGCUUCCUUUAUUUGAUCAAAAAUACAGAAAAGACAGUAAUAUUGUGAAAUAUUAUUACAAUUUAAAAUAAGUUUUCUAUUUUAAUAUACUUAAAAAUAUAAUUUAUUCAUGUGAUGCAAAGCAUGUCUUGACUAUCAUUUUUUUUUAUAUAAAUUUAACACAUCCUUGCUGAAUAAAAGUAUUAAUUUCUUUCAAAAGAGUUUCUAUUUUUAAUAAAUGCUGUUCUUUAACUUUUUAUUCACCAAAGAAUCUUGAAAAAAGUAUCAGGAUCCAAACAAAUAUAAAAAAAAAAAUAAUAAUAAUAAUAAUAAUUACAACAUUGAUAUAAUAAGUCAGCAUAUUAGAAUGAUUUCUGAAGGAUCAUGUGACACUGGAGACUGGAGUAAUGAUGCUGAAAAUACAGCUUUGAUCACAGCAAUAAAUGACAUUUUAAAACAUAUAUUCACAUAGAAAACAGCUAUUUUAAAUUGUAAUAAUAUUUCACAAUAUACCGUAUUUUUGGUCACAUAAAUGCAGCCUUGCAGAAGAGCAGAAGAGACUAUAUAUUCAAGCACUUGUGGAUGGACUGAAAGAGAAUAAUUCACUGGUCUGUUAUUUCUGUGCUCUUAUUGUGUCUCCAGACCAUUUGCUAUGUGCUCAGACUGUCAUGCUACACACACCAAACAAUUCAGACAGACACAAAAAGAUGUCUAACAGGUCAGCAGUGAACAUGCCGCAGCUCUUUUGAGGAGUCUGAUUAGACAGGCAUUCAUGCAUGGCACGGCAAUAUGGCACAAAGAAAAGCCACUACGAUGAGAUGAUUUCAGCCGUUAGACACUUUGGUUAGACACCUGUGGACCUCUAUUUGACAACAUGAUCUGAUAAUGAGAGAUACUGAGCGGCUUAUUACGAACACUUCAAUAGCAAAGAAUACUGUGUUAUAAUAUCAAAGUAAUAUGAACAUAAAGAGCAUUUUUCAGACUUUGUAGUCGUUCUAACUGCUGGUAAGAUGUCUAAUUCUGUUGAAUUGAAAGAGUGCUCAGUGUGGGUCAGGGAUGUUCUUUACUUCACAAAAUGAGAGAAAGUUAGAUACUCUCUUCAUCGAUCCAGCAGUAUGUUUGUCAAGCACACGUCCAAACUCUCCAGCUUGAUCCUCCCCACCCUUGAUGUACUUUCCAAUUCUGUAUUGCUUGGUGAAGGUAUUGUAGGAUUGUGUUUAUGUGAGAUACUGUAUUCAGAAUGUAUUUCUUUCCUUUUCUCUUUUUGUGUUUAUGUAUUUUUUAAAACUUCAGUGUAUUUGCUCACUAUCACUGUUAUUUUUUCUCUGUUGUCUCUGCUUUUUUCAUUCUACCUUUGUAAUGUUUCUUUAAAAUGUAUAAAUAAAUUAUUUUAAAAAAGAAAAAGGAAAAAAAAAACAAAUAUGCAGCAUUCCAUUUAGGGAUACUUCAAUUCUACACUGUAAAAAUAAAUCUUGUUUUGAAGAAUAAAAUGUAUAUUUUAUGAGAAAA